RNAcentral lists this long non-coding RNA (653 nucleotides) under Oryctolagus cuniculus (rabbit). RNAcentral describes it as "lncRNA (ENSOCUG00000030599.1)". Lineage: Eukaryota; Metazoa; Chordata; Mammalia; Lagomorpha; Leporidae. The record is from RNAcentral.
AAGGAAAAGCUAGCUGGCAUCAGAAACAGGUGGGACUGGGAGAGGAGGCGGAGGGAGGGGCUGCUUUUGACUUGGGGGCCCAAGAAGACCUCUCUGCAGAGGUGAUAUUGAAGAUGAGACGGCCACCGCAGGUGAGUGGAGACUCCCGGCCCCAGAGGCCAUGCCCGCAGAGCCCAGGCCCUCAGCUCGGGACACCGUGUACCCCGUGCGCCCUCCAGCCCCGGGCUCUGUGACUUCUCACUACUGCACACAGGCAUGCUUCCCCCACAACAAACGCCUCUUUCUCCUCCGCAGGAGCCUGCUGCCAGCCCACCCAGCCCUGCCAGCAGCGUCAGCUGAUCCCUGCGCGGUUACAAUCAACAAAGAGGGAGAGAAUGAGGAGCGGGGAAAAAUCCCACGGAGUCACGGAGGUCAUCUGGCUGGGGCGCAGGCUGCGGGGAGCGCUUCUCUCUGCCUCCAUGGCUCCCCACGUUGCACAGCACCAGGAGUGAGAAUAAUCGCAGCCGCCGCCACCACCACGUGCAUGCCCAGGGUGCCCUGCUCCGGUUAUCUGCCUCUCCCACAACGCGUACACCCCUCCUCCCAGUAUUUAGAAGGGAUCCGUCUAGAACCGAAUGAGUGAAUGGAAUAAACAGUUUUUGGAGACUGUGACA